AUUGAACGCUGGCGGCAGGCCUAACACAUGCAAGUCGAACGGUAACAGGAAGCAGCUUGCUGCUUCGCUGACGAGUGGCGGACGGGUGAGUAAUGUCUGGGAAACUGCCUGAUGGAGGGGGAUAACUACUGGAAACGGUAGCUAAUACCGCAUAACGUCGCAAGACCAAAGAGGGGGACCUUAGGGCCUCUUGCCAUCGGAUGUGCCCAGAUGGGAUUAGCUAGUAGGUGGGGUAACGGCUCACCUAGGCGACGAUCCCUAGCUGGUCUGAGAGGAUGACCAGCCACACUGGAACUGAGACACGGUCCAGACUCCUACGGGAGGCAGCGGUGGGGAAUAUUGCACAAUGGGCGCAAGCCUGAUGCAGCCAUGCCGCGUGUAUGAAGAAGGCCUUCGGGUUGUAAAGUACUUUCAGCGGGGAGGAAGGGAGUAAAGUUAAUACCUUUGCUCAUUGACGUUACCCGCAGAAGAAGCACCGGCUAACUCCGUG
RNAcentral lists this ribosomal RNA (490 nucleotides) under uncultured bacterium. RNAcentral describes it as "partial 16S ribosomal RNA". It matches the Rfam family "Bacterial small subunit ribosomal RNA", at positions 30 to 507 of the family's 1533-position model. The record is from RNAcentral.